CCAGUAGUCAUAUGCUUGUCUCAAAGAUUAAGCCAUGCAUGUCUAAGUAUAAACGCCUUAUACUGUGAAACUGCGAAUGGCUCAUUAAAUCAGUUAUAGUUUAUUUGAUAGUACCUUUACUACAUGGAUAACCGUGGUAAUUCUAGAGCUAAUACAUGCGAAAAAUCCCGACUUCUGGAAGGGAUGUAUUUAUUAGAUAAAAAACCAACCGGGGCAACCCGUCUUUUGCUUGGUGAUUCAUAAUAACUUCUCGAAUCGUAUGGCUUCUACGCUGACGAUGGUUCAUUCAAAUUUCUGCCCUAUCAACUUUCGAUGGUAAUGUAGUGGAUUACCAUGGUUGUAACGGGUAACGGAGAAUUAGGGUUCGGUUCCGGAGAGGGAGCAUGAGAAACGGCUACCACAUCUAAGGAAGGCAGCAGGCGCGCAAAUUACCCAAUCCCGACACGGGGAGGUAGUGACAAGAAAUAACAAUACAGGGUCCUAAACGGUCUUGUAAUUGGAAUGAGUACAAUUUAAACCCCUUAACGAGGAACAAUUGGAGGGCAAGUCUGGUGCCAGCAGCCGCGGUAAUUCCAGCUCCAAUAGCGUAUAUUAAUGUUGUUGCAGUUAAAAAGCUCGUAGUUGGAUUUUGGGCUUGUUCAGCCGGUCGCACCGCAAGGUGUGUCGUGGGGGUGGGGUGGGGAGGGGGGGGUUCGCCCCCUCAGCCCCGUCCCAUCCUCCUACUGGCUGGGCUUGCCUCUCUCUACCUCCUUCUAAAGACCCAGGGUGCUCUUCACCGGGCGUCCUGGGGAUUUAGGACUUUUACUUUGAAAAAAUUAGAGUGUUCAAAGCAGGCUCAUCUUCGCUUGAAUACAUUAGCAUGGAAUAAUGAAAUAGGACUUUGGUUCUAUUUUGUUGGCUUCUAGGACCGAAGUAAUGAUUAAUAGGGAUAGUUGGGGUGGUUAGUAUUUAAUUGUCAGAGGUGAAAUUCUUGGAUUUAUGAAAGACUAACUUCUGCGAAAGCAUUCCACAAGGAUGUUUUCAUUAAUCAAGAACGAAAGUUAGGGGAUCGAAGAUGAUCAGAUACCGUCGUAGUCUUAACCAUAAACUAUGCCGACUAGGGAUCGGUGGAUGUUAUUUUUCAUGACUCCAUCGGCACCUUACUGAGAAAUCACAAGUCUUUGGGUUCCGGGGGGAGUAUGGUCGCAAGGCUGAAACUUAAAGGAAUUGACGGAAGGGCACCACCAGGAGUGGAGCCUGCGGCUUAAUUUGACUCAACACGGGGAAACUCACCAGGUCCAGACAUGGUAAGGAUUGACAGAUUGAGAGCUCUUUCUUGAUUCUAUGGGUGGUGGUGCAUGGCCGUUCUUAGUUGGUGGAGUGAUCUGUCUGGUUAAUUCCGAUAACGAACGAGACCUUAACCUGCUAAAUAGUUACGCGAACUCAGCCCUGGGGAAGGGGUGGGGGGGUUUCGGCCUCCCCUCCUCGCUUCCCAGGGCGGUUCUGCGGUUUUCAACAACUUCUUAGAGGGACUGUCGGUGUUUAACCGACGGAAGUUUGAGGCAAUAACAGGUCUGUGAUGCCCUUAGAUGUCCUGGGCUGCACGCGCGCUACACUGAUGAAGUCAGCGAGUUUUAUCACACCUUGUUCGGAAGGACAUUUUUCUGGGUAAUCUUCUGAAACUUCAUCGUGCUGGGGAUAGAUCAUUGCAAUUAUUGAUCUUCAACGAGGAAUUCCUAGUAAGCGCGAGUCAUCAGCUCGCGUUGAUUACGUCCCUGCCCUUUGUACACACCGCCCGUCGCUACUACCGAUUGAAUGGUUUAGUGAGAUCUUUGGACCGGCGCAACGCAGCUGUCUGACAGCAGCGAUGCACUGGGAAGCUGAUCAAACUUGAUCAUUUAGAGGAAGUAAAAGUCGUAACAAGGUUUCCGUAGGUGAA
This 1918-nucleotide ribosomal RNA is filed under the name Nuclearia thermophila. RNAcentral describes it as "SSU rRNA". It matches the Rfam family "Eukaryotic small subunit ribosomal RNA". The record is from RNAcentral. Lineage: Eukaryota; Rotosphaerida; Nucleariidae.